UACAGAGGGGGCAAGCGUUGUUCGGAAUUACUGGGCGUAAAGGGCGCGUAGGCGGCCUGCUAAGUCGAACGUGAAAUCCCUCGGCCUAACCGAGGAACUGCCUUUGAUACUGCUUGGCUUGAGGCCGGGAGAGGGUAGCGGAAUUCCCAGUGUAGCGGUGAAAUGCGUAGAUAUUGGGAGGAACACCAGUGGCGAAGGCGGCUACCUGGACCGGUUCUGACGCUGAGGCGCGAAAGCGUGGGGAGCAAACAGG
This 253-nucleotide ribosomal RNA is filed under the name uncultured bacterium. RNAcentral describes it as "partial 16S ribosomal RNA". It matches the Rfam family "Bacterial small subunit ribosomal RNA", at positions 524 to 776 of the family's 1533-position model. The record is from RNAcentral.